RNA transcript from Eutrema salsugineum, 2421 nucleotides. It is a transcript of the gene named probable DNA helicase MCM9, with no coding region annotated. The record is from RefSeq and is a predicted model, not a curated record. The transcript has 20 exons. NCBI's taxonomy places the organism in Eukaryota, Viridiplantae, Streptophyta, Magnoliopsida, Brassicales, Brassicaceae.
UUCCCCUCCGGAAGACCCAUUUACUCAUUUCCCGCGCAAAACCCUUAACCUUUCUCCUUCGCCGGCGCGACGAUGAUGGAAUCGCCGACACAGACGGCGGAGCACAUAGAGUCUAUGACGGAGUUUCUGAUGAACCACUAUUCCGAUCAGCUCCGCGACAUCUCUCUCUCUACCGAUCCCAAACUUCACUACCCUCUCUUUCUCGAAUUCGCAGAACUCGUUGAUGAUAAUCCGAAUCUGGCGCAUCUUGUUUUCUCCAAUCCCGAGCAAUUUCUUCGUCACUUCGACGAUUCAGCCAUUUUGGCUCACAAAAUUGCGUUGGAGCAGAUGAAAAAAUUUGAGAACAAGAUUGGGACCGAGAAGAGAUUUAUACAUGUUCGUAUAAACACUAGUGGAUCCCCUCUAGAACGAAGCCCUGACUCUUUCCCGAGUAUUGGUCGGGUUAGAGUAAAGCACCGUGGGAUUCUGCUGAUGUUGAAAGGCACAGUGAUUCGUUCUGGGGCUGUCAAAAUGUACGAGGGAGAACGGAUGUAUAGAUGCCGAAAAUGCAAGCACAUGUUUCCUCUUUUCCCUGAGUUGGAAUCGAUAAACUCAAUCGUGAAACCGCCCUUUUGUCCUUCCCAGCGGUCAAAAUCUUGUGAAGGCACAAACUUUGAUCCUGUGGAAGAUACAGUCACACGCCAUGACUAUCAAGAAAUCAAAAUCCAAGAAAAUACUCAGGUUUUAGGUGUUGGGGUUAUCCCAAGGUCCAUUCUAGUCGUCCUGAAAGAUGACCUUGUUGACAUUGUUAAAGCUGGAGAUGAUGUUGUUGUCUCUGGCAUCUUGACGUCAAAAUGGUCUCAUGACUUAAAAGACGUUCGCUGCGACCUUGAACCUAUGUUGAUCGCCAAUCAUGUCAGAAGAACUAACGAACUCAAAUCAGAAAUUGACAUAUCUGAUGAAUUGAUCGAGAAGUUCAAGAAGUUUUGGAGCCACUUCAAAGAUACCCCUUUGAAAGGGAGAAAUGCUAUCCUACGAGGUAUCUGCCCACAAGUCUUUGGUCUCUUCACUGUUAAGCUUGCAGUUGCCUUAACACUCAUUGGAGGUGUGCAACAUGUUGAUGCCUCUGGUACAAAAGUCCGGGGAGAGUCUCACUUGCUUCUUAUUGGUGAUCCAGGCACUGGAAAAUCUCAGUUCUUGAAGUUUGCUGCAAAACUAAGCAACAGAGCUGUAAUCACAACAGGACUAGGAAGCACAAGUGCUGGAUUGACUGUAACUGCGGUUAAGGAUGGAGGGGAGUGGAUGUUGGAAGCUGGGGCUCUUGUUCUUGCAGAUGGUGGACUUUGCUGUAUUGAUGAAUUUGAUAGCAUGAGAGAGCAUGACAGAGCAACCAUACAUGAAGCAAUGGAGCAACAAAGCAUAAGCGUUGCCAAGGCUGGCCUUGUAACGACUCUUAGCACAAAGACAAUCGUCUUCGGUGCUACAAAUCCUAAAGGACAAUAUGAUCCCGAUCAGUCUCUUUCUGUAAAUACUGCCCUCUCCGGUCCCUUGUUGAGCAGAUUUGAUAUUGUACUCGUUCUUUUAGAUACAAAGAAUCCUGAAUGGGAUAAAGUUGUAUCCUCCCACAUCCUUGCUGAGGUGGAAAUAGAGCAAGGCAGAUAUGUCGAUGAUCUGACUACGAUUUGGCCACUACCGAUGCUUCAAAGGUACAUUCAGUUUGUAAAAAAAAACUUCAGGCCUGUCCUGUCAAAGGAAUCAGAAGAAAUAAUUUCAAGUUAUUAUCGACUCCAAAGAAGAUCAUCAACACAUAAUGCAGGUAUCUUCUAAGCACACUUCUUUGUUUUCCAGAUGUUAAUUUUUUUUAUUAACAUGGAACAGUGUCUUCUUAUUCUUUAUUUAUAUCAAAAAUUGCUCUGCAACCCCAUUCUUACUGGAUGUAAGUGUAGCCAAGAGAUAGGUCGAUCGAUUUCAAAUCCACUUGAUACUUGCUUGCAAGAACAACCGUGCGGAUGUUAGAAAGCUUAAUCCGUCUAGCUCAAGCUCAUGCAAGGCUGAUGUUAAGAAAUGAGGUCACACGAUUGGAUGCCAUAACAGCAAUCCUGUGCAUUGAAUCGUCGAUGACCAUUUCAGCCAUCGUGGACAGUAUGGGGAACGCGCUGCACUCUAAUUUCUCUGAAGAACCGGAUCAGGAAUACGCGAAGCAAGAGAAGAUCAUCCUUGAAAAGCUAAGAGGAGACGACAUUUAUUAGCGUGUGCGAAGAGAGGGAGAUAGGGUUGCAAUAUUAUCUCCUUAUGUGUCUCCGGCAAAGUUUCAUAUGUACCGAGUUCAUUAUGUGGUGGGUUGCAUACUUACUGUAAAAGAUGCAUGUUUUCUAUCUCCGUGUCCGAUACAGUUAAUUAGUUAAAGACGGUCGGUCUUCUACAACACAAUUUGCCUUCAAA